Molecule: long non-coding RNA, 524 nt
Filed under: Ananas comosus (pineapple)
Lineage: Eukaryota; Viridiplantae; Streptophyta; Magnoliopsida; Poales; Bromeliaceae
Description: long non-coding RNA (ACOM_LNC021492)
Source: RNAcentral
AUGGUUUCAAUAUUUUUAUGAUCAUUUUAUUUUUUGGUUACUCUUUCUUUAUUCGUUUCAUCUUUCAGAUGAAAUGUAAGGACUGAGAUUUUUGCAGUGUAGGUAAACUCUUAGUUGACGAUAUUUUUGUGUGUAAUUUAAUUACAAAAGCACUCGUCAAGUUUCGGGCGAAAACGAGUUAAAACGGAAAUUCUACGGGAUUUCUAAGUUUCACUUAAAGUGAAUAGUAACUCGAUUUUCCGGAGAAGCCGCGGUGAGAAGUUGGCUUCUGGCUCGUACCGGACUCUGUUCAUAGCAGUCCAAUAGCUCGUUUCGACCGGUUCAGCUAUUCUGGAACUAAUGGCGCUGACGGAUUUUGAGUUUGACGCACGGAUUUCGAGAAAAUCCAAAAAUACAUGUUUUAUAUGUAUUUUUGUGUGUGUUUCCUUCUAUUCGAAGAAGGUUGGAUUUUGUCGUGAAUCCGUGGUCGAUCAAGACGAAACGAAAUCGUAGCUUUGUUGUCUCCGUCGUGCUGAUCGCACUGG